CCUGGUUGAUCCUGCCAGUAAUCAUAUGCUUGUCUCAAAGAUUAAGCCAUGCAUGUCUAAGUACAUGCCGAAAUAAGGCGAAACCGACAUGGUCUUAAUCAGUUAUGGUUCCUUAGCUCGUUUCUUUCCUACUGUUGGAUAACUGUGGCAAUUCUAGAGCUAAUACAUGCAGUGCGCCUGGAGCCCUUUGGGUAACGGGUGCUUUUCUUAGACCAAGAUCGAUCGGGUUUCGGCCCGUAUUGUGUGGUGACUCUGGAUAACUUUGUGCUGAUCGCAUGGCCACGAGCCGGCGACGUUUCUUUCAAGUGUCUGCCUUAUCAACUUUCGAUGGUAGGUUACUUGCGGGGGGACUUACCAUGGUUGUUCGGGUAACGGAGAAUCAGGGUUCGAUUCCGGAGAGGGAGCCUGAGAAACGGCUACCACAUCCAAGGAAGGCAGCAGGCGCGCAAAUUACCCACUCCCGGCACGGGGAGGUAGCGACGAAAAAUAACAAUACGGGACUCUUUUGAGGCCCCGUAAUUGAAAUGAGUACACUCUAAAUCCUUUAACGAGGAUCAAUUGGAGGGCAAGUUGCGUGCCGGCCGCGGUAAUUCCGCUCAAUGCGUUAUAGCUGCCUUUGCGGCUUAAAAAGCCUCGUAGUUGGUCUCAGUUCCAGCGAGUAGUGCCAUCUCGAUGCGACGGUCGGACUGACCUCUGCCGGUUGUUUUCUUGCGGUGCACUUCAUUGUGUGCCUCGAGCUGGCCGGUGCUUUUACUUUGAAAAAAUUAGAGUGCUCAACGCAGGCGAGUCGCCUGAAUAAACUUGCAUGGAAUAAUAGAACAAGACCUCGUUUCUGUUCUGUUGGUUUUUGGUUUUUGGAAUACGUAAUGAUUAAGAGGGACGGACGGGGGCAUUCGUAUUGCGGCGCUAGAGGUGAAAUUCUUGGACCGUCGCAAGACGAACUACUGCGAAAGCAUUUGCCAAGAAUGUUUUCAUUGAUCAAGAACGAAAGUCAGAGGUUCGAAGGCGAUCAGAUACCGCCCUAGUUCUGACCAUAAACGAUGCCAACCAGCGAUCCGCCUGAGUUACUCAAAUGACUCGGCGGGCAGCUUCCGGGAAACCAAAGUAUUUGGGUUCCGGGGGAAGUAUGGUUGCAAAGCUGAAACUUAAAGGAAUUGACGGAAGGGCACCAUGGAGCUGCGGCUUAUUUGACUCAACACGGUAAACUCGGCCGGCACUGGGGGGAUUGAGGUUGAGAGCUCUUUCUUGAUUCGGUGGAUGGUGGUGCAUGGCCGUUCUUAGUUGGUGGCGCGAUUUGUCUGGUUAAUUCCGAUAACGAACGAGACUCUAGCCUAUUAAAUAUAGGUGCGGGGUGUCCAGCCCUUACACCUCUGUAGAGGCGCAAGCGGCUUCUAGCCGCCGACAGAGCAAUAACGGUCUGUGAUGCCCUUAGAUGUCCGGGGCCGCACGCGCGCUACACUGAAGGAAGCAGCGUGUCUUUAUCCCUGUCUGAAAAGACUGGGUAACCCGUGGAACUUCUUUCGUGAUUGGGAUAGGGGCUUGCAAUUGUUCCCCUUGAACGAGGAAUUCCCAGUAAGCGAGUAUAAGCUCGCGUGAUUCGUCCCUGCCCUUUGGUACCCACCGCCGUCGCUACUACCGAUUGAAUGUUAGUGAGGUCUUCGCGACGUGUCCGCGCGCGGCCCUUUGCGCCGGUCUGUUGGAAAGAUGACCAAACUUGAUCAUUUAGAGGAAGUAAAAGUCGUAACAAGGUUUCCGUAGGUGAACCUGCGGAAG
This 1773-nucleotide ribosomal RNA is filed under the name Rhipicephalus microplus (southern cattle tick). RNAcentral's name for it is "SSU rRNA". It matches the Rfam family "Eukaryotic small subunit ribosomal RNA". The record is from RNAcentral. Lineage: Eukaryota; Metazoa; Arthropoda; Arachnida; Ixodida; Ixodidae.